GAUGAACGCUGGCGGCGUGCCUAAUACAUGCAAGUCGAGCGAACGGACGAGAAGCUUGCUUUUCUGAUGUUAGCGGCGGACGGGUGAGUAACACGUGGAUAACCGACCUAUAAGACUGGGAUAACUUCGGGAAACCGGAUCUAAUACCGGAUAAUAUUUUGAACCGCAUGGUUCAAAAGUGAAAGACGGUCUUGCUGUCACUUAGAGAUGGAUCCGCGCUGCAUUAGCUAGUUGGUAAGGUAACGGCUUACCAAGGCAACGAUGCAUAGCCGACCUGAGAGGGUGAUCGGCCACACUGGAACUGAGACACGGUCCAGACUCCUACGGGAGGCAGCAGUAGGGAAUCUUCCGCAAUGGGCGAAAGCCUGACGGAGCCACGCCGCGUGAGUGAUGAAGGUCUUCGGAUCGUAAAACUCUGUUAUUAGGGAAGAACAUAUGUGUAAGUAACUGUGCACAUCUUGACGGUACCUAAUCAGAAAGCCACGGCUAACUACGUG
RNAcentral lists this ribosomal RNA (497 nucleotides) under uncultured bacterium. Its description in RNAcentral is "partial 16S ribosomal RNA". It matches the Rfam family "Bacterial small subunit ribosomal RNA", at positions 28 to 507 of the family's 1533-position model. The record is from RNAcentral.